ACGCUCGACACCUGGAGGCAGCAGUGAGGAAUAUUGGUCAAUGGACGCAAGUCUGAACCAGCCAUGCCGCGUGCAGGAUGACGGCUCUAUGAGUUGUAAACUGCUUUUGUACGAGGGUAAACGCAGAUACGUGUAUCUGUCUGAAAGUAUCGUACGAAUAAGGAUCGGCUAACUCCGUGCCGGCAGCCGCGGUAAUCUGAGCGGGCUGGCAAGGC
RNAcentral lists this ribosomal RNA (215 nucleotides) under uncultured bacterium. RNAcentral describes it as "partial 16S ribosomal RNA". It matches the Rfam family "Bacterial small subunit ribosomal RNA", at positions 328 to 539 of the family's 1533-position model. The record is from RNAcentral.